CCUACGGGAGGCAGCAGUGGGGAAUCUUGCGCAAUGGGAGCAAUCCUGACGCAGCGACGCCGCGUGGGGGAGGAAGGGCUUCGGCUCGUAAACCCCUGUUGCCCGGGGCGAACCUCUGGUUUCGACCAGACUGACGGUACCGGGUGAGGAAGCACCGGCUAACUCCGUGCCAGCAGCCGCGGUAAUACGGAGGGUGCGAGCGUUGUCCGGAAUCACUGGGCGUAAAGGGCGCGUAGGCGGCAUGCCAAGCGUGUGGUGAAAGCCCGGGGCUCAACCCCGGGUCGGCCGUGCGGACUGGCGUGCUCGAGCACUGUAGGGGCGGGUGGAAUUCCGGGUGUAGCGGUGGAAUGCGUAGAGAUCCGGAAGAACACCGGUGGCGAAGGCGGCCCGCUGGGCAGGAAGGAAGCGUAAGCUUCCGGCUGACGCUGAGGCGCGACAGCGUGGGGAGCAAACAGGAUUAGAUACCCUGGUAGUCCACGCCGUAAACGAUGGGCACUAGGUGCUUGGGGGAGCGACCCUCCGGGUGCCGGCGCUAACGCAUUAAGUGCCCCGCCUGGGGAGUACGGCCGCAAGGCUGAAACUCAAAGGAAUUGACGGGGGCCCGCACAAGCGGUGGAGCAUGUGGUUUAAUUCGACGCAACGCGAAGAACCUUACCUGGGCUUGACAUGCACGGGAAAACCCUCCAGAAACGGGGGGGCCCUCUUCGGAGUCCGUGCACAGGUGCUGCAUGGCUGUCGUCAACUUCGUGUCGUGAGAUGUUUGGGUUUAAGUCCCGGAAACGAAGCGC
RNAcentral lists this ribosomal RNA (788 nucleotides) under uncultured bacterium. RNAcentral's name for it is "bacterial SSU rRNA". It matches the Rfam family "Bacterial small subunit ribosomal RNA", at positions 338 to 1099 of the family's 1533-position model. The record is from RNAcentral.